UCCAGGCCCUACGGGGCGCAGCAGGCGCGAAACCUCCGCAAUGCGGGCAACCGCGACGGGGUUAGCCGGAGUGCCCGUGCAUCGCACGGGCUGUCGGGGUGCCUAAACAGCACCCCAUAGCAAGGGCCGGGCAAGGCCGGUGGCAGCCGCCGCGGUAAGACCGGCGGCCCGAGUGGCGGCCACUCUUAUUGGGCCUAAAGCGUCCGUAGCCGGCCCAGUAAGUCCCCCGGGAAAUCUGGUCGCUUAACGAUCAGACUUCCGGGGGAUACUGCUGGGCUAGGGACCGGGAGAGGCCGAGGGUAUUCCCGGGGUAGGGGUGAAAUCCUGUAAUCCCGGGAGGACCACCUGUGGCGAAGGCGCUCGGCUGGAACGGGUCCGACGGUGAGGGACGAAGGCCUGGGGAGCGAACCGGAUUAGAUACCCGGGUAGUCCAGGCUGUAAACGAUGCGGGCUAGGUGUCACCGGAGCUACGAGCUCCGGUGGUGCCGGAGGGAAGCCGUUAAGCCCGCCGCCUGGGAAGUACGGCCGCAAGGCUGAAACUUAAAGGAAUUGGCGGGGGAGCACUACAACGGGUGGAGCCUGCGGUUUAAUUGGAUUCAACGCCGGGAAGCUUACCGGGGGAGACAGCGGGAUGAAGGUCGGGCUGAAGACCUUACCAGACUAGCUGAGAGGUGGUGCAUGGCCGCCGUCAGUUCGUACUGUGAAGCAUCCUGUUAAGUCAGGCAACGAGCGAGACCCGCGCCCUCAGUUGCCAGCGGGUCCCUUCGGGGACGCCGGGCACACUGAGGGGACUGCCGGCGCUAAGCCGGAGGAAGGUGCGGGCAACGGCAGGUCCGUAUGCCCCGAAUCCCCCGGGCUACACGCGGGCUACAAUGGCCGGGACAAUGGGUACCGACCCCGAAAGGGGUGGGUAAUCUCCUAAACCCGGUCUAACCUGGGAUCGAGGGCUGCAACUCGCCCUCGUGAACCUGGAAUCCGUAGUAAUCGCGCCUCAAAAUGGCGCGGGGAAUACGUCCCUGCUCCUUGCACUCACCG
This 1035-nucleotide ribosomal RNA is filed under the name uncultured archaeon. RNAcentral's name for it is "bacterial SSU rRNA". It matches the Rfam family "Archaeal small subunit ribosomal RNA", at positions 315 to 1348 of the family's 1478-position model. The record is from RNAcentral.